UACAGAGGGUGCGAGCGUUAAUCGGAAUUACUGGGCGUAAAGCGCGCGUAGGCGGCUUUGCAAGUCGGGUGUGAAAUCCCCAGGCUUAACCUGGGAACUGCAUUCGAGACUGCAUUGCUAGAGUAUGGGAGAGGGAAGUGGAAUUUCCGGUGUAGCGGUGAAAUGCGUAGAUAUCGGGAGGAACACCUGUGGCGAAAGCGGCGCACUGGACCAUAACUGACGCUGAUGCGCGAAAGCUAGGGGAGCAAACAGG
Molecule: ribosomal RNA, 253 nt
Filed under: uncultured bacterium
Lineage: Bacteria
Description: partial 16S ribosomal RNA
Rfam family: Bacterial small subunit ribosomal RNA
Source: RNAcentral